CCUACGGGAGGCAGCAGUGAGGAAUAUUGGUCAAUGGACGAGAGUCUGAACCAGCCAAGUAGCGUGAAGGAUGACUGCCCUAUGGGUUGUAAACUUCUUUUAUAAAGGAAUAAAACGAGGCACGUGUGCCUUUUUGCAUGUACUUUAUGAAUAAGGAUCGGCUAACUCCGUGCCAGCAGCCGCGGUAAUACGGAGGAUCCGAGCGUUAUCCGGAUUUAGUGGGUUUAAAGGGAGCGUAGAUGGGUUGUUAAGUCAGUUGUGAAAGUUUUCGGCUCAACCGUAAAAUUGCAAUUGAUACUGGCAGUCUUGAGUACAGUUGAGGUAGGCGGAAUUCGUGGUGUAGCGGUGAAAUGCUUAGAUAUCACGAAGAACCCCGAUUGCGAAGGCAGCUUACUAAACUGUGACUGACAUUGAUGCUCGAAAGUGAGGGUAUCAAACAGGAUUAGAUACCCGUGUAGUC
This 460-nucleotide ribosomal RNA is filed under the name uncultured bacterium. Its description in RNAcentral is "partial 16S ribosomal RNA". It matches the Rfam family "Bacterial small subunit ribosomal RNA", at positions 338 to 795 of the family's 1533-position model. The record is from RNAcentral.